UGUGUGGAGUACAGGUGCCGGGAAAAUGGCUGAAUUCAACGUAAAGUUUGUCGGGCAAAAAUUAAGCAAAAUUCGAUGGCGACCUACGCAAUCACAGUCCAUUAUACAAUCAGAUGUAUUUGCCACGGGGAGCUGGGAUGACGAGGACAACAAGAUCCGUCUGUGGAGUCUGGAACAACUCAGUCGGGAUGACAGGGAGGGUCCUGGCAGUGUGCUGGACAGCGAGCCACACGAGUUGUGCAGCGUCACACAGAGAGGGGACGUCACAGACCUCAGUUUUAUAACGAAUGACCACAUAGCAGCAGCAUCUUCAACUGGAAAUGUAGCUAUAUAUCGCCACCAUAUCAACUCACAGACCCUGAGUGUGGCCCACAGCUGGGACGAUGUCCAUCACUUGGCGGCAGGGUCAUGUUCCUGCACUUGUUUAACAACUAAGGGAGACGAUGUAGUUGUAUCUGGUGGAGAGGAUGGAAGGAUUGUCGUUCUGAAUGUCAACCGGAGGCAACCAGAGAGAGUCAUUGAAUCUGCUGACAGUUGUACUAUAAAUGCCAUCACGUUUCUGAAACAGACAGAGGUUAUCACCGUCAAUUCCUUUGGACAGUUGAAGAUAUUUGACUUUCGACAGAACACUGCAGUUCCAACAAGAACCUACACAGUGACAGAAGAACACAGCUCACUGCAGUGUGUGGCUAAGCACCCUGGUCAGGCCCACAUUGUGGCCACAGGGGGCCAGGACGGGAUGCUGACAAUCUGGGACCUCCGUCAGGACAAGUUUCCCAUGACAUUGCUAGAGGCCCACAGUGCCACCAUGUGGGAGGUGAAGUUCCAUCCCCACAACCCAGACCAUCUGUUCACCUGCUCAGAUGAUGGCUCAGUCUGGCACUGGGAUGGGACGUCUGUCAGGGGCAGCGCAUCUACUUCAUCGUUUGUGUCAGGGUUACGAGGAGACAGUGCCAGCAGCACGGGACACAUCAGCUCGUGGCUGAACCUGGACUCCGCCCGGCAGAAGCUGGAGAUCACCUCCCUCCUCCCCACGAGGUCACUUCCUGUCAACUCCCUCGAUAUAGACCGCGAUACCCUCCUGUGUGGUACAGACAGUGAGACCCUCUACACUAUCUCCUUGCCAGGCCUGGUGUAGAGCUUCUCACUAACCAAGUCCUAAAUGCCAUAUCACUACCCGAGUCCCUAACCCAUCUCACUACCCCAUCUCACUACCCAGUCCCUACCCCCAUCUCACUACCCCCAUCUCACUACCCGGUCCCUACCAACCAUCUCACUACCCAGGUCCCUACCCCCCAUCACACUACCCCAUCUCACUACCCAGGUCCCUACCCCCCAUCACACUACCCCAUCUCACUACCCAGGUCCCUAACCCCAUCUCACUACCCCCAUCCCACUACCCAGGUCCCUAACCCCAUCUCACUACCCCCAUCUCACUACCCGGUCCUUACCCACUUCUCACUACCCCCAUCUCACUACGCAGGUCCCUAACCCCAUCUCACUACCCCCAUCUCACUACCCGGUCCCUACCCCCAUCUCACUACCCAGGCCCUACCCCCAUCUCACUACCCAGUCCCUACCCCCAUCUCACUACCCAGGCCCUACCCCCAUCUCACUACCAGUGUCCCUAACCCAUCUCACUACCCAGUCCCUACCCCAUCUCACUACCCAGUCCCUACCCCCAUCUCACUACCCAGGCCCUACCCCAUCUCACUACCCAGUCCCUACCCCAUCUCACUACCCAGUCCCUACCCCCAUCUCACUACCCAGUCCCUACCCCCAUCUCACUACCCAGUCCCUACCCCCAUCUCACUACCAGUGUCCCUAACCCAUCUCACUACCCAGUCCCUACCCCAUCUCACUACCCAGUCCCUACCCCAAUCUCACUACCCAGGCCCUACCCCAUCUCACUACCCAGGCCCUACCCCAUCUCACUACCAGUGUCCCUAACCCAAUCUCACUGCCCAGGCCCUACCCCCAUCUCACUACCUAGUCCCUACCCCCAUCUCACUACCCGUAUCUCACUACCCAGACCCUACCCCAAUCACACAACCCCAGCCCCACCUCCGUCUCACUACCCAGGCCCUACCCAAUCUCACUACCCAGACCCUACCCCCAUCGCACUACCCAAUCCCUACCACAUCCCAUUGCCCAAGUCCCUACCCUAUCACACAACCCUAGCACAACCUCCGUCUCACUACCCAAAUCCCUGCCCCUAUUUCCACACCCUCAUCUCACUACCCCUAUUUCAUUACCCCCAUCUCACCGCCCCAGUACACCAUCGUCAUGUAUAGGAUAACCAUUGUCAUGUAUAGGAUAUUAUUUUGAACUAAUGUUGUGUAUGUUCAUUGUAUAUGAUCAACUGCUAAAAUAAAUGUUUUCUACUAUCAA
RNAcentral lists this unclassified non-coding RNA (2391 nucleotides) under Haliotis rufescens (red abalone). RNAcentral's name for it is "nucleoporin Nup43-like, transcript variant X1". Lineage: Eukaryota; Metazoa; Mollusca; Gastropoda; Lepetellida; Haliotidae. The record is from RNAcentral.